This is a long non-coding RNA of Motacilla alba alba, 7635 nucleotides long. RefSeq lists it as uncharacterized. The record is from RefSeq and is a predicted model, not a curated record. Lineage: Eukaryota; Metazoa; Chordata; Aves; Passeriformes; Motacillidae. The transcript has 6 exons.
CAGGAGAUGGUUCACAGGUGGCCUUUUUCUUCCUCCUGCCCUUCCAAAUCUGUGGUGCUGCUGAGUUUUAAAGGACAAGCUGCGAGAGGCACCUAAAAUGACAUCACUGGAUUCUAUUAGCCUUUGAGAUAAUUCUUCUAAUAUUUCUAACCUUUCCAAUUGCAGUAAAUUUACCUGGGCUUUGUUGUGCUUUGAGGUUUUUUAUUAGAUUUCACGUAAAACCACAUGAACUCCUUUGGUUCUGUUUGUCCCUGCUACCAACAGCACUUCAUGGUCACCUGUUGUACUCCUUCCCACAGCUGGCAGCAUGGCAAACACGGGCAACAGCCUGAAACACCUCCCUCCCUGCCUGUGCCUAAAGUGCUGCGGGAAAUGCUCUCAGCUGUGGUAGAGUCCUUUGCUUUUCCCACAGCUGCUGACCCUUUCUGGAGUUUGGAGAGGCCUUUUGGCUGUGGCAGUGAGGAAUGCUGGCAGCGUGUGGGCUGUGGAUAGCCGGGCAGGUCUUUGCUCCUGCCGGGUGUACAAUGAGACCGAGCACAGAGACAAUGCCAAGGGGGGAGCGCUGAGCUGCCUCCAUGGCUCUGGGUGGGCGCUGCGCUCAGACUGUGGGGGACAGCUGGGGACAGGCACAGGCUGUCCCUGCAUCCGUCACCGCUGCCUGCUGGCACCAGAGGGGGAACAAUUCCAAGGGACAUGCGGAAACUCCCUCAGCAUCAGCCGGGGACUGCAAGCACAGGCAUGAUGUGCUGGGCUCCUCACCUUGUCACCUGCGCCUGCUGUUUGAGGAUCCAUCUUCUGUGUGGGUGGCUCAGAAAGCCCCAGCCUCAGGAGCUGCCCCAAGUGUGUCAUUCCGAGCUCUGGACAACGGAUGGCUGCCAAAGCUCCUCAGAACGGUGAGGCUGACGAGUGCUAUUCCACAUGGAGCUGGCUGCCUUUGGCUCACCCUGGGGCUGCCAGCUCUCCACAGAUCCAGCACUUCUGCUCUGGUGAGACUCCUGAUUCGGGCAGCACUCGGUGACUGACGGCUGCAGCCCAGGAUGGUCCCCUCCCACCUCGGGAAAAUAUUCCACAGGAGACCUGCCAAAGGAAAGCCCUGCUCCUGUCAAUGACUUGUGAAGAGCGAUUCCUCAUUUCUGAGAUCCCUGCCAGGAACGGGAGAUGUACCAAGAGUUUCUAAGUUCCUCAGGCAAUCAGAACAUGCCCCGAGCCCCUUCUGCAAUCGAUGUCCUCCUGAGGAUGAUGUGUCCCCACUCGCAGACUGAUCUCAGGAAGGACAGAUCAAUUCUGCAGUGAGUCCUGGUGCUCCUGUGAACAAUCAGCACUCCUGGUUCCCAGGGCUCUUCCUUUUCAGCAAGGCCUGAACACAUCAAGUCGCUCCUGCAUGUUCCCUGCGGUAUUUGGCUGUCUCAAGACAGACAAGGGGAGCUUCAAAACUUUCUGGAUUGAUUCAGCAGGAGACUCAUGGGAGAUGGAAAUGCUUUGACAGCAAGCGCUCUCUACAGGGUCCAGCCACGGUGGGACAGGAAAAGUCUCCUCCUCCCACCUUACUUUUCUUUGCUCUGCUGUAAACCUUCCCUCUCUCCCCAUCUCCGGGAGUCAGCACCCACAUCCCUUCGUGCACAGGAAAGGAAAAAAGGAGAGGAAGGUCUGGCUCCCAGUCCCUCCAGAGACAGAGUUUGAGUCGCGUACAUGCGGAAUUCAGUGAGCCGAGAUCUUCGCUUUCAUCAGAUGUGUCUCUUCAGAAACAGGCUGACACCCUGGGCACCAAAAGAGAUCACAGGAGCUACAGCACAAAGCAGGCUCUGCCACAGCUGCAGGCAGGAGUCUGUCAGGGAGAGUGAGGGAGCAAGAAGGGUGCUGAUCUAACAGACAAAGGGGGAAGGAAGGAAGAGUGAAAAGUGGAAGAAACUGGAAGAGACUUCAAGGGACACAGCGCUGUUUGAUGGGGCAGAAGCUGAGAGGCAAGUGAGCUGCUGUGCAGGGUGAUUGCAUUCUUCCAAGAUGAUUUGUAAAAGGGGAAAAGUUGUAGAUUAAACGCUUUGAUUGGCCUUUAUCUCACUCUGCCUGUGCACUUGUGUCAUUCAUUUCAUGUAAUAACCUCUACUAAACAGUCAGAGGCUGCAGUAUAAUUUUGUUGACCUGAAAUUAUGGCAAAAAGCUGCAGUUGUGGAAUUUGGAGCUGGAAUAGUGCCUAACUGGCUGAAGGGCAAAAUAAAGAAGUAAAGAUCAAUGACAGCUCUUCAUGUCACGUGAAAAGUCAAGGCUCAUGCAUCAGGGAACUUCAAAACAAUCAGAUAGAUGGAAGUUCAGCUUAUGUCUCAAUCCUAAAAUUGCAUUAAAAUUAAACUCCCUGUUUCUAAUUGUCAUUCAGUGGAGCUUAGAUGAACCUCAGAUUUUAGGUGUUGCACGAUGGGAGCUAUGGGUAAUGAUUACACUGCAAUGUGAAGUGCCAAAAAUGGGAAAUGGUGGCAGUUUUGGGGGCUCUUUCUGCUUUCUUUCCUUUUUAUUCCUGUCUAUCCAACAUGGCAGAAAUCUAACUGAGUAGCAGGAAGGCAACCUCCGUUAUGUUGGCAAGUGACGGAAAAAAAAAGGUGAAUCUUUCAGGCUUUGGAGGAGCCGAUUCAGGAGAAAAACUGUGCCUGCAAUACAAAGCCAAAAGUUAUCAACCAUCCCGAGAGAUGUUUUCACAAAUCAACAAAGAACACAAGCCAGGAAAAAAAAAGAGCAUUGCUCUGGUCUGUGUCCCUAAGAUGGGAAACUGAAAAGCCACGAGCAUAGAGCAGGUAGGAGCUGGUUGUCAGAGGAAUGUCAGCUUCCAGCAGAACAGGAAUAACUCAGAAGUCUGGGGAUGAGUCUCUGCUGCGACUGCAGCAGAAAUGGGGCUUCUCCAGAUCUGCCUAAGACCCAGAACUGACACGAGAUGAGGCUCAACUUGAAUAAUUGUCUUAGUUCCUUCUUUUGUCCUUUCACCCCAAAUAUGUUUAGCUUGUAUUUUGCUUCUGCAUGCUUCUAUAAAUCCUCAGAGGAUCCAUCUUGGAAGCACUUCCAGGAUGGAAAUGCUCUGACCUUUAGAUGCUGACAGGUGAGGUGCAUAUCCUCGUGUUCUGUAUUACUGACAGUAACGGCAGUGCUUCCUCUUUUUUUUUGCUCAUAGUCUCAUUUUUAGGUGUUUGUCUGACUUCAGGACAUAGUUCCCCUCCUGUAAAACAGAAUAUCUAUGCCAGUGCUUGCAUUCCAGGGAUCUGGAUGCAGUACCACAUAUUGAUGAGCGCGUGACACAGUUACCCCAGUGUCUGCAGUGGCACCCAUCCAAACGGAGAGCUGCCCAGUCCCCUGCAGCACAAGGCCGGGAAUGCACCCACCGAGGCAGGAGCCCACGCACGGCAGGACUGCUCAGGCAGCUCCCGUCUCCUGGGCUCAGGGGUGAUUCCUUUUCCAGAGCAGCUCUGUGCCGGACCUGGCUUCUGCAGAUGGUGUGGCCGGUGCCACCUGGUGCGUGGCAGCUUUCCAGGGGGAGUCUCCUGUGAUGAGGACUGCACAGCACUGCCACUCAUCCCACUCAGCACUUGGACAAAAUGUGGGACUGAACUCCAGAGGUAGGAACCAGUCCUUCAUUAUUUCAUUGUCUGAAACUUCGUCCUUGGAGCGCGUUCAGGGAAGGAUGGGAGACAGACCUUUUCACCUUUCUGGUUUUGUCUCUUUCCAUGGUGCAUCAUAGCCAUCCCUUCCACAGCUGAACCAGUGGGUCUGGAGUUUCUGAGAGGAAUUCAACAGAACUCUUUUUCAAUCUUUUGUCCCCCUUUUGGAGCAAUCCAUCUGAAAACAUUUCUGUAAAAUUUCCUUUGAGUUCCUGAUGCUGCUCAGGCACAUCAGACUGGCACAAAAGCCCCUCAGUAACGUCCCCAGCCCCGGCGGCGUGGCUGAGCUCUCUGAACUCCAGCCCUGCACUGUCACACCACAAUUACAUUGCAAUUACAGAUGGAAUUGUGGCAGGCUCUAGGCCACUGGCUCUGAAUCCUCCUGCUCAGGGCUGACCGUGGCAUUUGUCUGUAUUUCCUGUCCCUGGAGCUGAUCACUCCGUGCUUCCUAAGGGACCAAGCGCUCGUUCUCCACAGCUCCUUGGAGCAGAGGCUGCUCGCCCACGCUGAGAGAGGUGGGUGAGUGAGACUGUGUUAUGUCUCCAGGAGCAGGUAUGCUGCUGGAUGGACAUUUCUGUUCCAGCACACUUCCAUAUGGAGAGAAAUAAAGAGGAAAAAAGGAAAAGGAGGGAAGAGCCAGAAGGCAGCAUUGAAAUGCCAGUGUGGCCACCAAAGAGGUAAGGGAAUGAAACCCCGAGAGGGAGCAGAGGAAGGUCGCUGCUGCCAGGGACAGCAACACCAGAUGGCCGCAAGCACAAAUCAGGAAUUCUGCAGACGGGAGUGUUGCUCUCAGCCUUUGUGUUGUGUAGCACAGUUUGCAUCGCAGUUUAUCCUCACGGCCACUGGAAGGUUGGUCGGGGGCCAGACUGCCCUAAAGGGAGAGCAUUUUAAUGUGCACAUGCAGGGGCUGUUCAGAGGUACUGCCGGCAUUAAAGCUGCUCUGAUCAGUUCUCUGUGCUGGGAUGACAGCAGCCAUCAAAGAGCCACCUGAGGAUCCCUUCCACCCGAGAUGCAAAUGCCCUCUCCCUCUCCUUGUGCAAUCCUAAAGCUGCCACGUACAUUCCCUGCAAGGGGCUUGGGCACUGCUUACACUUGGAUUUCACUGCAUUUCCGUGCCGGGACAAAACUUCCGGUGGCCAGGUGAGAACAUUUUGGCUUUAAAUAAGAAGAGACAUUUCCCAGUGACUGUGAGGAGACACAGAACAGACACUGACUGCUCGUGUGUGCCCUGGCCAGAAUACAGGAGCUGGGCUUAGUGGUGCUUGCCAGGGAACGUGCCCAGAUUCACACCUGAGACACGAGGGCGUUCCCGGCCCUUCCGCCUCCCUGCAGAAAAGCUGGUGCUGCACAAAGAGCACUCGGGCAAACUGCUGUUCCUGUUCGUGCUGGUUCUACAGAACUGAACCUCCAGCAUUCCACAUUCUGUUUAACUUCACCACCUCUGGAGCGUUUCUUGUGCUGCACUGCAUUUAUUUUCUGGACAGGCUCAAUUCUGCUGGCACAGGCCAUAAAGAUGAUGAAAGAAAGCUUAUGAUAGCAGAGCAGGAAACAAAUGACACUUGGGCAUUUGUCAUGGAUCCUUGAAAAAGUAGGUGAGCCCCAGGCUGACUUUUGGAUUUAUCUCUGCUGGUUGUACUCGUGCGUUAGGGUGUUCCCAAAGAACCCUAAAGAAAGGAAUUCUCUGUUUUGCCUCCCACUUAUGGAAGGGGCAAAGAAGAACAAGAUGAAAUAUCAGAUUGAAUAGCUUAAAAAACGGAUAAACCUGUAGGAGAAAGAUGUUUUCUGCUGCACUGUUGGUCAUAAACAAAUUUAAGAUUUUGAAAAGCCCCACAACAACUUUAGUAGCCUUUGCCAGAAAUGAGACAGACCCAGUAAUCCUGAGGCAAUCAUUCCUUCAGUCUUUCUGCACUCUGAAGGCAGCUGAAUUAACGCAGAAAGCAGAGCUGUCACACACCCUGCAGCCAGCAGCUCCCAAAAUUAUGCCAACCCUCAUUGGUUCAGUUUACUGCAAAUGCUGCCCUGAAGCAGCAAAGGUGACUCUGCCCUUCUUGAGGGCUUUUACCUCGGGCUGAGGUUUGGUUCUGCCUGGCUUCCUCAGCGGUGCAGCUGCAGAGCAAGGGAGAGCAGUGCCAAGGCCUCCUCGAUCCUGGAGCCAUCUGAGCUCGUUCCUUGGGCAGAGAGCAAUCCUGACCCCAGCCGCAGCCUCCUACAGCCGCAGCCUCCUACAGCCACAGGGCACAGAGCACCCGGCUCUGCCCCGAGCCUCCCGGAGGUGUUUGCUCAUGCAGAACGCUUGGGCCCCUUCCGUGAGCUGCUAAGAAGAACUGAAGGUGCCACAUGGUGGGCACUGUCCCCUCCUCCCCGUAAGGGUCCCCCCAGGAUGGCUGAGGGUCACAGAGAAAUACUGCUGGAAUGGGGCGUCUCCCAAAGGGGCGCUCACAACACAUCCCAGCGCUUCCUGUCACUUUUUAUUCAGGGCGAGCAUGAAAAUUUCUGGGAUGGACAAGGAAAAGCGAUACACACAAUCCAAGAGAAAUGGCCCUGAACAGCCCUGCUGAGAAAGCAGAUCCCGUGUGACCGACUGGAGGUGGAAGCUCAUUCCCAAGACAUCAAAUCAAAGAGCCAAAGCAGAUCCUGAUCUCACCGGGAUACUGAGAUGGAAAAAUCCCAUGCUCGAGAUCAUUUCCAAGGAAAAGAAGAGGCAGGAGGACAGGUGGGUGGGUGUAUUGGUAACUCCACUGAACGCAGUUAAAGAAGCCCCAAAGCACAGUCGUCUUCAGGAAUAUAUUUGAGGAGAGACAGCCACAAAUACCUGGAGAACAUUUACCAAGUGCUUGACAAAUGGAAAGCUGGAUCUUUCUCAGAGUGCCAUGGGUGCUGUGCAGCCAGACCUGGAGCACCAGGGUGACCCAUCUCCCUCAGGAGUCCUGCUUUCAUCCUGCAGUGUGCAUAUUCCUUGGAAAACAGCCGGAAAAGAACCUGAGCGGGGCCCAGACUGGGGGCUGCCCCUUCCAGGGGAUUACGUGUCCGCUCUGUUGGAAUUGCUAAUUGCUGAGGCACUAAUUGGCUUUGAGUAGCUCAGCAGUGUGCCUGGGGAGAGUCCUGCUGAGCGGAUCUGGAGCGGUGAAGAUCCAAGCGCUGCGCUGAGCCCCUGGAGAGCAGCUGUUCCCUCAGAGCAGAUCCCUGGGCUGCAGGCUCUGCUUUCCUGCCGCUCCGCACCUUGGCAGAGACCCUUUUCCCCUCUGUUUCCCCCAGGGUGGAGCUGGAGCUGGCAGUUCAGUGAAGAGCUGGUCGGGAUGCUGCAGUGUCUGCAGAGGAAAGGAGAACUGGCCCCAGGAGCGCAGGAGCCAUCUCCAGAGCAGAGCUGGCACGGAGGCGCUGCCUGCCUGCGGCUGGGAGUGCUGGGAGCCGUUCCGUGGCAGCGGCUCAUUGAUGUUAUUCAUUUAUUUCACUUUUUCUCUCUUUUUACUGUUUGUUCACCCCUUUCUUUCCCCUUUCUAAAACACUUCUUUUCUGCUGUGGGGGUUUUUCCCUUCUCUCACCCUCACUGCUUUCCUGUCUGUUUUUAGUUUUUCUUGCUUCCCUAUCUUUUGCUUCUCCUGACCAGAAGCAGCUGGGGCAGCUGCACAGCCGGGGCUGCAGGCCCCUCCUGGCUGGUGCUGCUGCCGGGGAGCCGACUGCUCUACGGGAUGUGCUCCUUCCUAAGUUCAAGGCUUGGGGCUCUCUGGCGCCGUGUUUAAUGGAAAAAAGGUUGCGUGGCAUUGCUAAGUUUGAUGGUGGUGUUUUAUGGAACGGGCCAAGCCCAGAUUGCCCAGGAAGCAGCACUCUGGCUUGGGGUUCCCUGUGCCACGGACAGCCCCAGAGCCGUGCAGCACAGGGAGAAGCCGUUCCUGAGCCACUUCUGAUGAAGUAACCAAGUUGAAAUUGGAAGAAAUGAGAAGUCCCGACUGAAGCUGACGUAAAAGCAAGUUGUGAUCGGUGUUGAGAUCCUCCUGCU